Molecule: transfer RNA, 41 nt
Filed under: Cnemaspis kendallii
Lineage: Eukaryota; Metazoa; Chordata; Lepidosauria; Squamata; Gekkonidae
Description: partial tRNA-Cys
Source: RNAcentral
CAGGUGCCGGGGCUUCUCCCGUUUUUCUCUUGCGGGAGAAG